AGACGAAGAGGAAACAAGCGGCCUCGGUCAGCGAGGCACUGAACGGAAGCAGGGAACUUGCCCAGCAGUGGGGACAACGCAGACCUGAACGAGGCAUCUCCCCCAGGACCCCCGCUCUCAGCACAGAGCACGGAGACCUCCCUGCACGCCCCCCACCUGCUCCGUCUGCCCGUGAGGGUCCCGGGCUGCCCCCAGCCCCCUCGGGUCACGGUCACUGGGGUGCAUCACUCCCUUUGUGCCAGUAACUCCAGGCGUGAUCCUGACGCCACGAAGUCACCAGCGACACCACCAGCCGAAGCGGCCUGACCUCACAGAGCAGAGCCUCAUCCCUUCCUAAUCCCGGCCACUCCCCGCCCGCCCCGUUCACCGGCUCCCCUCCGGUCCUCUCUGACGCUCAGCUUCGGGGGUGCCGGAGGUGAGCCCUCUCCCUCCGCCCGGCUGCAUUCAGGGUCCCCGUCACUCGGGGAAAAACCAAAGGUCUGUGUUGAAAAUGACACGUCCGCUGAGCAAAAUUCAAGUCGUGAGCCUUGGCUCCCACCUGCCUCCUCAGCGCAGCUCGGUGCCCCCGCCGGGGGCCCGUGGUUCCUGCCCCGUUCCGUGCUCCUCCCCGAGCAGAAGGUCCCUGACGCCUGGGAAGGUGGUGGCUCUGAGGGCAGGACGUGGGUCCCGCGCCGCAGCCGGCUCCGGGAAAGAGCAUCUGCAGGGGAACAGCAGGGACCCCCACCGCCCGGCACGGACUGACGAUGCUCAGCCCCUGCCUCACCGCUUCCCACCGCCCCGCGGGGCAGGUGCCUGCGACCCGAGGUACAGAUGGCGACCGGGCAGACAGUGGUGGCGAGGGCAGGUGCGGUGGCCCCUCGGCACCACUGUCUGCCGAGGACCUCGGGACGUCCAGUGCCGACACACCCUCCCUCUCCUGCCCCGACUGGACCACUCGCCCCCGGGUCCCUCCUGUAGCCCCACGAGCCCCCGCCCGGCGGCUGAGUCUCUCGGAUGAUCUCCGUCCCGGUCCUUCUGCCCAGACACCAAAUGAGACGACUUUCCCACCUUCCGGGGGCCUGGCCCGUGACUCGCAGGCCUCCUGGCUAAACGGUUUCCUGAGGGGAAAACAGGACCACGGGGCCUUGCUGAGAACUCCCUGCCAUCGGUCAGGACGCCACCAAGGCUGAGUUCUCUGAGAUGCAAACCCUUCAGCACUGGUGUCUCCCGUCUUUCCAGGAUUCCGGGGCCUUAGGGGCCCUCGGAGUUACAACCUUCGCGCAGGACCAGGUGGUAACCAGUCUAGGCUCCGAGAGCCGGGUGGGGUGUGUUGUGAGCGGUCACCUCUGCCACAGACAGCUGGGGGAUGAGCGGGUGUGGCUGUGUUCCCAUCAAGCAUCCCUUGAGAAAACAGGCCGAGGAUUGGGUGUGGCCGGGAGGCCGUGUUGCUGACCCCUGGCUUUGAGAAAGGCAGAAGGGAAGACCGGCUCCGUUUCCUUUCUUCCUGAGUUCAGGACACCGUCACGGCCCCUGGGGGCUCGGGAACUGCUCAUUCAGAAGCGUUUGUGACCUCCCACGCCAGCUGGUUCCCCUUUUCCAACUAGGACGAUUAAAAAAAACCCAAGAACUAUUUUCGAGGCCCUUGCAGACGGCCAUUGGCAGAGUGCCAGCCGCGGCUGGAGCUGCGACGGCAGGGUCCUCUCUGAACCAGCCGGAUGGUGCCUUCUACCCGGGAGAGAAAAUUCCAAGGGACUUCUGGGGUUAAAGCUCCAAGCCUCCGAUGCAAGAAUGCUGCCUCCCCAGGCCGACUGGAGUGCCUCCAAGCAGAGCCACCAGGAUGGAGAAACUGUCCCCAGCCUGGGGACGCCUCCACCUGUCGCAGCCCAGAGAGGCCAGGAGGCAGCGGCUGGGCUCAUCCCCGCCCAACACAGCGGGGC
This is a long non-coding RNA of Leopardus geoffroyi (Geoffroy's cat), 1916 nucleotides long. RefSeq lists it as uncharacterized. The record is from RefSeq and is a predicted model, not a curated record. The transcript is spliced from 3 exons. NCBI's taxonomy places the organism in Eukaryota, Metazoa, Chordata, Mammalia, Carnivora, Felidae.